This 26-nucleotide non-coding RNA is filed under the name Homo sapiens (human). The record is from RNAcentral. Lineage: Eukaryota; Metazoa; Chordata; Mammalia; Primates; Hominidae.
UGACAAUAGAAAGAGAAUGUGCGUGU